CAGCGGCUCGAGCUGGAGAGUACUAAAUACGAACAACAACAAAGCACUGAGUAUGAGAAGUCUGCAUCAGGUGUAUGUUCUCUUUGCCAUUUACUGCCUUUAUACAAUUCCAGCAAGUUCAGGUUAUCCGCUGCCCUACACAGCCUAUUCAGACCACCUUCCUUUAAGCGAGAGAUUGGCUUUAUGUUACAGUCAGCAGACAUCACAUACAAAUCAGCCAGAGGUAAUUAAAUUCCUCUUUCAUAAG
Polyodon spathula (Mississippi paddlefish) is the source of this 247-nucleotide long non-coding RNA. RefSeq lists it as uncharacterized. The record is from RefSeq and is a predicted model, not a curated record. The transcript has 3 exons. NCBI's taxonomy places the organism in Eukaryota, Metazoa, Chordata, Actinopteri, Acipenseriformes, Polyodontidae.